Long non-coding RNA from Solea solea (common sole), 1855 nucleotides. RefSeq lists it as uncharacterized. The transcript is spliced from 3 exons. NCBI's taxonomy places the organism in Eukaryota, Metazoa, Chordata, Actinopteri, Pleuronectiformes, Soleidae. The record is from RefSeq and is a predicted model, not a curated record.
UCACUGGACCUCUGUGCAAUCAUCCACUGGCUCCGUCUCAAGAGCUUUUCACCCAAGGAGUUUUCUGAGGACAUUGUGGUCACACUUACGGUCCGUCUUCUGACAGAGUGAGGAAGAAGUGAGCAGCUGAAUUCAAAAAUGGCAGCGAAAGUUUGGUCGACCUUCUGCAGAUGAUGUCCUGAUGUUGAAUUCUGGAGAUCUGUGUCUCCCUCUGCAGCUGCUGACCUAGGCCAGGAACUGAACCAGCAACCUAUGCUGAAUGAAAAGAAAUGUCAUCUAAAGCCUCAAAUGACAGCACAUGUAAAAUAUAUGACAACAUCCUGAGUUCCCUCUUCCUUGAAGGCAUGUGUGGAAUUUUCAGUAGCUGUAGGUUUUUUUUUUCUUUUACAUGUCCAGAAGGAACAAGAGAAUCGAUGAAUGAGAUGAGGAAGAGGCAUCAGUAUGAGAGGAUAGGGACACAUUCAGCCCAGAGUACAAUGUGUCAUCUUCAGAAGAAGAAGAAAAAAAGUCCUCCAAGAGGAUUGAAAGAGAGACAUUUUUGUCAAAAGAACAAGGAAAAUAACAUGGUUCUCGUCACCAAGAGACAGCACAACUCUCAUAAAGGUGACAACGAGACAACGAUGGACUCCAGAUGCUUUGCCAAAGAGAAGCCAAUGGUUGCCAAUGCAUUGCAGAGGUCAGGGUAAUAUAUGUGUUCAAUAAUUUAAUAUGGGCCUCUAAGGAUAUUAUAAAAGGAUAAGAAAAAUGUGUGUGAAUUUGAAAUAUUACUAAGCUAUGUGCUGGAUAUGAAUAAAAGGAUUUACAACUGGACAACAUGUAGGUGUAAAAUAUUCACACAACAGUCAUUUGAGCAACGUAGGGGGAAAAAAAUGGAUUUUACAUUCACACCAAAAGCAGAUUAGUCAAUGUCAACAUUCACACUGGGAGACGCAAAUCCCAGGAGGGAGCGACAUUUUCAAAAUUGCAUAAAACAAUCUCAUAAAUGCCAAUCUUCUGACGUAGCUGUAAGAUUGCUGUGUUGAUGUGUGUUUGCAUCCUCCGCAAGCAAGACUGGAUGGAGAGAGAGAGGGGGCCACUUUGUCUCGUACACACAUGCAAUAUGGAUAAUUUAUAAUUAUUGGAAUCAAGCAUCAUGCAGCGCCAAGUCAACAUUUCAAAAUGUCAGUACUGCAAUUCUUAGACAACGAAUGGCAAUGUAAUGAUAUUAUCAUCAAAUGCAAACGUGCUAAAAAGCGAAAAUAAGAUUCAACGUCCUAGAAAUGUUGCUUUGGCGCUCAAGUCAUAGGGAAAAAACAUUGGGACAUCUUCAACUGUCCACCACUGAACUGUUAGAGCAAAAGUGCAUAUUUCUCUUAGUGAUGACUUACACAUAGUGUGCUUUGUGCUCUUGGUAAGGUCUCGGCACAAAUCUCGUCUUGAUCUUGUUAGCGUGGUCUUCACAGCAGCACUUCCAACUAACAGAACUUACAGUGAUGUUACAAUUUUCACUCUCUCUGCAAACCAGCUGUUAAGGAGGGAUAGUGCUGUCAGACUCAUUUAUGCUUCUUUUUUUCCCUUUUGCCACACUCUACAAAAAGGAUUGAUUAGAUAGACCUUUGAUUUUGAAGAACUCAGCCUGCAAACCCAUCUCCUAUGAAUUGCAUUUAUAUGCAGCUAAUGUGAAACAGCAAAUAGGUUUUGAAGGAACGCAAUUUAUGCCAGAUUUCACCUCACUAAUGAAUAAAAAAGUAACCUAUAUUAUCAUAUUUGACAAGUUGCAAGAACAUCAGUAAAAUGUUCAUUGACACUUUAAUAUUUUUUGAGACAAUAUUGAUUGGAAGCUGCUCGAAGUCUCAUUAAACUGUGUUAUGGUUCU